CUGGAUGUGGUGAUGAGGCUUAUGUGGACUAGAGUUUCUGAUCUGGCUUAAUCCCCAGUUCUGAAGACAACCCCUUGGCUGUCUGAGCAUUCUU
Molecule: small nucleolar RNA, 94 nt
Filed under: Daucus carota subsp. sativus
Lineage: Eukaryota; Viridiplantae; Streptophyta; Magnoliopsida; Apiales; Apiaceae
Description: sRNA DCAR_sn00235
Rfam family: Small nucleolar RNA Z157/R69/R10
About the family: Z157, R69 and R10 are members of the C/D class of snoRNA which contain the C (UGAUGA) and D (CUGA) box motifs. Most of the members of the box C/D family function in directing site-specific 2'-O-methylation of substrate RNAs.
Source: Rfam by way of RNAcentral